RNAcentral lists this long non-coding RNA (607 nucleotides) under Zonotrichia albicollis (white-throated sparrow). Its description in RNAcentral is "lncRNA (ENSZALG00000003265.1)". Lineage: Eukaryota; Metazoa; Chordata; Aves; Passeriformes; Passerellidae. The record is from RNAcentral.
GGAAAAAGAAGUCAGGAAUGUACUGAAUUAGCUCAGCAAUGGUCAGCUGCAUAUUGAAUUUCUUUGAAAAAGACUUGGAUAGAUUUUAACUAGGAAGGGAUAGAGAUAUAGGAGAACAGGGGGGUAUCACUGCUGGCAAAUGAAAUUUUCAGAACUCACUGGUCAAAAAUCAAAAGUUUUAAAAAUUUAUUUACAGAUUUUCAAAUUAUUCCUAGUACAGGUGAAGACCUCAGCAUGGCAAGCAUAAGACUAUUAAAAUGCCGUCCCAGCUGUCUUGUGCGGACCCCUUCAAAGUUUAAUCCACUGGUCUGGUCUCCUGUUAAAUAUACCCUCAUUUAACAACUUGGAAACCCUGGAGCUCAUGGAUCCACCACACGAUGUCGAUAAGGUUUGUAAGCAGGGGAGGGGUGAAAAGACGUGUAGCUCGGUGCAGAAUGCGCCGUGUCCGGGAGAUGGAGGUGUUGGCCAGCCGCGCCCCGGAGAGGCCGCGAACGAGAGGCGGCGGCGCUGCACGGUCUGGGAGCCGCGCACGGAGAGCAGGCGCUGUGGAACCGUGCACAGGACUGCCUUCUUAAGAAGACUGACCCGUGACACAUGGCAUCAUUAA